RNAcentral lists this transfer RNA (90 nucleotides) under Candidatus Sericytochromatia bacterium. RNAcentral's name for it is "tRNA-Ser". It matches the Rfam family "tRNA". Rfam says of the family: Transfer RNA (tRNA) molecules are approximately 80 nucleotides in length. Their secondary structure includes four short double-helical elements and three loops (D, anti-codon, and T loops). The record is from RNAcentral. Lineage: Bacteria; Bacillati; Candidatus Sericytochromatia.
GGGGAGAUGUGAGAGUGGUUUAAUCAGCAGUCCUGGAAAGACUGUAGGCGGUCAAAAGCUGUCUCGAGGGUUCGAAUCCCUCUCUCCCCG